Molecule: ribosomal RNA, 483 nt
Filed under: uncultured organism
Description: bacterial SSU rRNA
Rfam family: Bacterial small subunit ribosomal RNA
Source: RNAcentral
AGAGUUUGAUCCUGGCUCAGGAUGAACGCUAGCGGGAGGCCUAACACAUGCAAGCCGAGCGGUAUUGUUUCUUCGGAAAUGAGAGAGCGGCGUACGGGUGCGGAACACGUGUGCAACCUGCCUUUAUCUGGGGGAUAGCCUUUCGAAAGGAAGAUUAAUACUCCAUAACAUAUUGAACGGCAUCGUUUAAUAUUGAAAGCUCCGGCGGAUAGAGAUGGGCACGCGCAAGAUUAGCUAGUUGGUGAGGUAACGGCUCACCAAGGCGAUGAUCUUUAGGGGGCCUGAGAGGGUGAUCCCCCACACUGGUACUGAGACACGGACCAGACUCCUACGGGAGGCAGCAGUGAGGAAUAUUGGUCAAUGGGUGCAAGCCUGAACCAGCCAUCCCGCGUGAAGGACGACUGCCCUAUGGGUUGUAAACUUCUUUUGUAUAGGGAUAAACCUACCCUCGUGAGGGUAGCUGAAGGUACUAUACGAAUAAGC